Molecule: transfer RNA, 85 nt
Filed under: Actinomycetes bacterium
Lineage: Bacteria; Bacillati; Actinomycetota; Actinomycetes
Description: Actinobacteria bacterium tRNA-Leu
Rfam family: tRNA
About the family: Transfer RNA (tRNA) molecules are approximately 80 nucleotides in length. Their secondary structure includes four short double-helical elements and three loops (D, anti-codon, and T loops).
Source: RNAcentral
GCCGCAGUGGUGGAACUGGCAGACACGCAUGCCUUAGGAGCAUGUGCCUUCGGGCGUGGGGGUUCGACUCCCUCCUGCGGCACCU